This 477-nucleotide ribosomal RNA is filed under the name Candidatus Scalindua wagneri. Its description in RNAcentral is "bacterial SSU rRNA". It matches the Rfam family "Bacterial small subunit ribosomal RNA", at positions 365 to 832 of the family's 1533-position model. The record is from RNAcentral. Lineage: Bacteria; Pseudomonadati; Planctomycetota; Candidatus Brocadiia; Candidatus Brocadiales; Candidatus Scalinduaceae.
UUCGCAAUGCCCGAAAGGGUGACGAUGCGACGCCGCGUGAGCGAAGAAGGCCCUAGGGUUGUAAAGCUCUGUCGAGGGUUAUGAAAUAUAAGUGUGUUAAUACCGCAUUUAUUUGACGAAGGCUCCAAAGGAAGCCACGGCUAACUCUGUGCCAGCAGCCGCGGUAAUACAGAGGUGGCAAGCGUUGUUCGGAAUUAUUGGGCGUAAAGAGCACGUAGGUGGGUUUGUAAGUCAGAUGUGAAAGCCUUCUGUUCAACGGGAGAAUUGCAUCUGAAACUGCAAGUCUUGAGUAUAGGAGGGGAGAAUGGAACUUCUGGUGGAGCGGUGAAAUGCGUAGAUAUCAGAAGGAACGCCGGCGGCGAAAGCGAUUCUCUGGCCUAUUACUGACACUGAGUGUGCGAAAGUUAGGGGAGCAAACGGGAUUAGAUACCCCGGUAGUCCUAACUGUAAACGAUGGGCACUAAGUAGAGGGGUUUU